AGAGUUUGAUCAUGGCUCAGGACAAACGCUGGCGGCGUGCUUAAUACAUGCAAGUCGAACGGUACCCCUUCGGGGGUAUAGUGGCGGACGGGUGAGUAACACGUAGAUAACCUGCCCUGGAGUGGGGAAUAACAUCUCGAAAGAGAUGCUGAUACCGCAUAAGCUCUCCUUUGUGAGAAGGAGAGGAAACGCUUUUCUUCGGAAGAGUGGCUGCAGGAGGGGUCUGCGGCGGAUUAGCUAGUUGGGGGGGUAAAGGCCCACCAAGGCGACGAUCCGUAGCUGGUCUGAGAGGACGGCCAGCCACACUGGGACUGAGACACGGCCCAGACUCCUACGGGAGGCAGCAGUAAGGAAUAUUCCACAAUGGGCGAAAGCCUGAUGGAGCGACGCCGCGUGAGGGAAGAAGGCCUUCGGGUUGUAAACCUCUUUUCUUUGGGAUGACACACCCCCUCAUACGGGGUCAGGACAGUACCGAAGGAAUAAGCCUCGGCUAACUACGUGCCAGCCGCCGCGGUAAUAC
This 520-nucleotide ribosomal RNA is filed under the name uncultured bacterium. RNAcentral describes it as "bacterial SSU rRNA". It matches the Rfam family "Bacterial small subunit ribosomal RNA", at positions 8 to 526 of the family's 1533-position model. The record is from RNAcentral.